This 386-nucleotide ribosomal RNA is filed under the name Pseudocalanus sp. RNAcentral describes it as "partial small subunit ribosomal RNA". It matches the Rfam family "Eukaryotic small subunit ribosomal RNA", at positions 587 to 975 of the family's 1831-position model. Lineage: Eukaryota; Metazoa; Arthropoda; Copepoda; Calanoida; Clausocalanidae. The record is from RNAcentral.
AGCUCCAAUAGCGUAUAUUAAAGUUGUUGUGGUUAAAAAGCUCGUAGUUGGAUCUCGGCGGUCUGAGGGCGGUUCGCUUCAGAGCGCUACUGCCCUAUAGACCGUAGUUUUGCCAGAGGUCUCAGGGUGCUCUUAACCGAGUGUCUUGCGAUGCUGGCAGGUUUACUUUGAAAAAAUUAGAGUGCUCAAAGCAGGCUUUUACGCCUGAAUAUUCGUGCAUGGAAUAAUAGAAUAGGAAGUCGUUUCUAUUUUGUUGGUUUUAGGAAAUCGACUUAAUGAUUAAUAGGGACAGUCGGGGGCAUUUGUAUUCAAACGACAGAGGUGAAAUUCUUGGACCGUUUGAAGACAAACUACUGCGAAAGCAUUUGCCAAGAAUGUUUUCAUUA